UCCUAUAGGCAGUCGAAGAGACUCAGAUUCAAGUUGUUUCUGCCUAACUUCUUCUAAUACUACUAUUCUCUCAUCCAUGGCUUUCAUAAAAUUUUUUAUGUUAUCAAACUUUUCAGUCAGAGUAUUAAUGAUGGCUGCUGUAUUGGGAUCCAUAUUGGUGUUGGGUGGGGAAGCAAAAUUCAGGUACUUGAGCUAGUGGUCAUGCAAAUCUAGGAUGCAAGAAUAAGGUG
Molecule: long non-coding RNA, 230 nt
Filed under: Elaeis guineensis (African oil palm)
Lineage: Eukaryota; Viridiplantae; Streptophyta; Magnoliopsida; Arecales; Arecaceae
Description: long non-coding RNA (EGUI_LNC031367)
Source: RNAcentral